UACGUAGGGAGCAAGCGUUGUCCGGAAUCACUGGGCGUAAAGCGCGCGUAGGCGGAUUGUUAAGUCAGGGGUGAAAUCCUGGAGCUCAACUCCAGAACUGCCUUUGAUACUGGCGAUCUCGAGUCCGGGAGAGGUGAGUGGAACUGCGAGUGUAGAGGUGAAAUUCGUAGAUAUUCGCAAGAACACCAGUGGCGAAGGCGGCUCACUGGCCCGGUACUGACGCUGAGGUGCGAAAGCGUGGGGAGCAAACAGG
Molecule: ribosomal RNA, 253 nt
Filed under: uncultured bacterium
Lineage: Bacteria
Description: partial 16S ribosomal RNA
Rfam family: Bacterial small subunit ribosomal RNA
Source: RNAcentral